RNAcentral lists this ribosomal RNA (497 nucleotides) under uncultured bacterium. Its description in RNAcentral is "partial 16S ribosomal RNA". It matches the Rfam family "Bacterial small subunit ribosomal RNA", at positions 28 to 507 of the family's 1533-position model. The record is from RNAcentral.
GAUGAACGCUGGCGGCGUGCCUAAUACAUGCAAGUCGAGCGAACGGACUAGAAGCUUGCUUCUCUGAUGUUAGCGGCGGACGGGUGAGUAACACGUGGCUAACCUACCUAUAAGACUGGGAUAACUUCGGGAAACCGGAGCUAAUACCGGAUAAUAUUUUGAACCGCAUGGUCAAAAAGCGAAAGCCGGUCUUCCGGUCCCUUAUCCUUGGACCCCCGCUGCAUUAGCUAGUUGGUAAGGUAACGGCUUACCAAGGCAACGAUGCAUAGCCGACCUGAGAGGGUGAUCGGCCACACUGGAACUGAGACACGGUCCAGACUCCUACGGGAGGCAGCAGUAGGGAAUCUUGCGCAAUGGGCGAAAGCCUGACGGAGCAACGCCGCGUGAGUGAUGAAGGUCUUCGGAUCGUAAAACUCUGUUAUUAGGGAAGAACAUAUGUGUAAGUAACUGUGCACAUCUUGACGGUACCUAAUCAGAAAGCCACGGCUAACUACGUG